ACAUGCAAGUCGAGCGAACAGACAAGGAGCUUGCUCCUUUGACGUUAGCGGCGGACGGGUGAGUAACACGUGGGUAACCUACCUAUAAGACUGGGAUAACUUCGGGAAACCGGAGCUAAUACUGGAUAAUAUUUCGAACCGCAUGGUUCGAUAGUGAAAGAUGGUUUUGCUAUCACUUAUAGAUGGACCCGCGCCGUAUUAGCUAGUUGGUAAGGUAACGGCUUACCAAGGCGACGAUACGUAGCCGACCUGAGAGGGUGAUCGGCCACACUGGAACUGAGACACGGUCCAGACUCCUACGGGAGGCAGCAGUAGGGAAUCUUCCGCAAUGGGCGAAAGCCUGACGGAGCAACGCCGCGUGAGUGAUGAAGGUCUUCGGAUCGUAAAACUCUGUUAUUAGGGAAGAACAUACGUGUAAGUAACUAUGCACGUCUUGACGGUACCUAAUCAGAAAGCCACGGCUAACUCCGUGCCAGCCGCCGCGGUAA
This 488-nucleotide ribosomal RNA is filed under the name uncultured Staphylococcus sp. RNAcentral's name for it is "bacterial SSU rRNA". It matches the Rfam family "Bacterial small subunit ribosomal RNA", at positions 53 to 523 of the family's 1533-position model. Lineage: Bacteria; Bacillati; Bacillota; Bacilli; Caryophanales; Staphylococcaceae. The record is from RNAcentral.